This 3705-nucleotide long non-coding RNA is filed under the name Brassica rapa (field mustard). RNAcentral's name for it is "long non-coding RNA (BRAP_LNC003180)". The record is from RNAcentral. Lineage: Eukaryota; Viridiplantae; Streptophyta; Magnoliopsida; Brassicales; Brassicaceae.
UGGUAAAUGCAAAUUGCAAACGUUUUUGUUUCUUAAUAAUGUGUUUCUUGCGUGCGAAGAAACCUCUUUUAUUUUUAACCUAACUACAAUUAACCUAUGCAGAUGAACAUGGUUCUGAUGGAAACACUUCGUCUAUACGGACCAGUGUUAAAUAUGAUUCGGUCAGCAGCACAAGACAUGAAGCUAGGAAACCUAGUGAUCCCUAAAGGCACAACCAUAGUGGUCCCCAUUGUGAAGAUGCACAGAGACAAAGCCGUUUGGGGAAGUGACAGCGAUAAAUUCAAUCCACUGCGGUUUGUAAACGGCGUUUCCCGAGCUGCUAAUCAUCCAAACGCUUUCCUCGCGUUUUCUAUAGGACCUAGAGUCUGCAUUGGCCAAAACUUUGCCCUGAUGGAAGCUAAGACGGUUCUCACCAUGAUUCUUCAACGUUUCCGGCUUAAUCUCUCCGACGAGUAUAAGCACGCCCCCGCAGAUCAUCUCACUCUUCAGCCACAGUACGGUUUACCGCUAGUUCUUCAACCUAUCAACUAGUUGAUGUACAACAGCUGCAUCCACAUUGUAUGAAACUUUGUAAAUGAUUGGGAUUAUUAAUAAAAUCAUUUUGGACAGGCCCAUUAGUGAUCGGGCGCUAUUUGCUAUCUAAUGUAAACUGUCAGGCCAAUUUAAAAACUAAAGUCAAAGUGACUGGUCAAAAUGAUCCUACAGAAUUUGAGCUACGGCAACCAUCUUACAAAUAUUUUAUACAAAUAUCCGUGUUGUAAUUAUAUUUUAACUAGAAAGUGACCAACAGAAUAAAUAAUUUUAACUGAUAUUUUCCAUAGGAUCUAAAGGAGAAGCAAGACUAUUGACACUAACAUAGAUGAUUGAAAAAUGAAAACUAUAGUUAUUUCAUAUUCUGUGGUUGAUUGUUUGUGGUUUUUAAAAUAGUUUUUGGUUUUUUUCUUUCUAAAAUCUACUUUUUUACCAAUCAAGUUUUUAGGAAAUAGAUUCUCUAAAUUUUACGGAAACCAAAUUUUGAAAAUAACCACGUCUUCUUAACAAAAACCAAAAUCCAUAUUUCUUUGGUUUUUUAUAUACACGUGAGCUUUCUUUUUUUCUCUUUUUUGUUAAAUAUUCUUAUAUUAAUGCAUUAGUAUAGCAAAAAAUAAUAUCUAUACAAAUUAGUCUGUUUAAAUAGUAAUUAUUCAAAAUCUUUAUAGUUGAAUAAAAUAAUUUAUCUGAAAUCUAAAAUCUAAUAGGAAAAUAUAUUUAUUUUUAUUAAACUUUGGAGCUUUGUUUUGGUAAAUUAUUUAAUAAUUUUUAAAAAAUAUUUUAACAUGGGCUUUAAUUGUAGAAAUUUAAAUUUUUUAUAAAGUUAUAAAUUAUAUAUGUUUAUAGCACUAUAUAAUAAUUUUUAUUUUAACACCUUAGCUAUUAGUAUUUAAAUUACAAAACUUUAUACACUUAUCAUAGUGUUAAAAUAUAUUUAAUUUUUUUAAAUAAAAAAAUAACUAUUUUAUGUGGUAAUAUUUUGUAUAUUUAUAUUUACCUAUUAAGUAAUAUAUUGUUAUUAAGUAAUAUAGUCAUACUUGUAAUAUAUUGUUAUAAUGUAAUAUACUGUUAUUAAGUAAUAUGUUUAUACUUGUAAAUUAAAAUAAGUUCAAAAAACUUACAAAUGCAUAUUUUUGUGAGAUUCACCAUAUAUAGUUCAAUUUUGUGUUUCCAAUUUUCGUUUUAAAGUAAUUCAUUAGUUAAAUUUAUAUGUGUUUUGAUAACAAUAAUUUAUAUUUGAUAAUUUCAAAAAAAAAAAAUUUCUAUUAAUACUAUUUUUAUUUAUUAGUUUUUAAAGCAAAACCCAAAAACAAAAAUCUAGAUUCUAAAACUGUCAUUUAUAUUUUUCAAAAAACUAAAAUCUACUCCAAAAUCAAAAACUAAAAUCUAAUACCAAAAACCAAAAUUUAAAAACCAAAAAUCAAAUAUCAUUUUGGAUCUUGAGAGGGAGAGAGUAAAGAAAACACCAUUUGAGGGAGAAGAGAAGAAAAUGAAAGAGAAGAAAAUGAAAGUUUCAGAGAAAGAAACUUUAGGAUGAAGAAGAAGAAGAACGAGAAAGAUAUUUAUAUUGUGCGAUUAAGAGAGAAAAAAAAGUCACCGACCACUUUUUUCUCGCUUUGGAGAGUGUGUGUACUAAUCCCUAAGCUUCUUUUACUACUAAUUAAUACUCCACUGAGAGAAAGUGUGUACACAGAGAGAGGAAAUCAUAAAGAAAUUUUUGUUAUUUUCUUCCCCCACAUAUGAGACCCCUCACGUAAUAAUUCUUAGGGAUUCGACAUUUGUUAACACACUAUUUUAAAAGUUUAAACAAUGCAAAAUGCAUUUUAUAUGAGAGAACUGCGCGUACGAUCCGUCAAUACAUAGUAUUAAACUCCUAUCUUUCUCUUUGCAUCUUCUUAGCUCCUUCUUCUUCUUCUUUUUCUUCUCAUCUUCUUCUUAGUCUUCAAUCGUCUUCUUCACCUUCACUUAUUUUUUCUUUUGUUUUCAACAGGAAAGACUUGAGAAGAAGAAAAUAGAAGAAGCAAAGUGUCACAAUCUCGAAAUACAAAAGACAAAAACUGCACAUAAUCUGCAUAAUCAACACAUGAUAAAUUUAUUAUUCGGUGAAAACUUAGCUCCUCCUUUGAUGUGGUACUUGGCUCUCUUACAUCCAAUAACUCAAUAACGUUUUAAGUACUUUUUGGACAUAUCUGAAAAUUGAGAUGAUCCAAAUUUGUCAAACUCAUUAUCUGAAAAUGGAGAACAAGGACAACAAAUCUAAUGUUUGAAAUUUGUUUGAUACUAUAUAAUAAGCUAAUUAUAAAAAAAAAGAUCAACAUGGUUCAUAUUAUCAAAGAGAAUGCACUAGACUGUUUAUGUUCCUGAAAAAUACUCGUUAAUGGCAUUCAAAUCAGUAUAAUCAGAUAAAGAAUUAACGGCACUCGUUAAUCGGAUAAUGAAAAUUAAUAUUCAACAUCGCAUCUACUCCAGCUUGCACCUACAUAUACCUUCACAUAAAAGUUGAAACCAAUGUUUAAAGUUUUUUUUUAGUAUACUAUAUUAGAAUAAGGUGUUGUUAGGAUUAAAACGUUAAUUAGAGUUAAAAGUUUUUAAGAUGAAUUUGGUACCAAAACUGUCGUUGCUUUUAUUCACUAUCAAUAAAGAAGUUCACGAAUUUGCUUAACUCAAACAAGAAUCCUAAACCCGGCGCUUUUAUUCUCGUAUAUCCUUUUUUUUCCCUAAUCCUAGCCUCAAUUGGUCAAAACUUUGCUUAUCAUGAAUUGAUCAAUCUUCCAACCAAACAACUAAAUCAAUAUUGGGCCUGGAUUAAUGAUGUGUAUCGGGCCUAAUUGAACACACUCCAUAGUAGGCCGAACACUUCACCUUGUCCUUGAAGCAAACCAUUCAGAGUUGAAAGGAAGCCUUAAGCAAAGUAUUAUGUUUACUUUUGUAAUUAUUUCUUGCUUUUCACUAUAACGAAUCCUAACGUUGGAGAACUGAUAUGAAACAUGAUCAUGUACGAUGAACAUGGUGCUGAUGGAAACACUUCGUCUAUACGGACCAGUGUUGUGAUUCGGUCAGCAGCACAAGACAUGAAGCUAGGAAACCUAGUGAUCCCUAAAGGCACAACCAUAGUGGUCCCCAUUGUGAAGAUGCACAGAGACAAAGCCGUUUGGGGAAAUGACAGUGAUAAAU